This 263-nucleotide unclassified non-coding RNA is filed under the name plant metagenome. RNAcentral's name for it is "partial contains small subunit ribosomal RNA, internal transcribed spacer 1, and 5.8S ribosomal RNA". The record is from RNAcentral.
UUUCUGUAGGUGAACCUGCGGAAGGAUCAUUAUUGUAUAACCGAGGUGCGAGGGCUGUCGCUGACCCGAAAGGUCGUGCACGCCCGAGUGCCCUCACACACAUCCAUCUCACCCCUGUGUGCACCACCGCGUGGGUCCCCCUUUGGCUUGUUCGGAGGGGGGCUUACGUUUUCACACAAACUUUGUAUGCAGUGUAGAAUGUAUUUUUUGUUUUUGCGAUCACGCAAUCAAUACAACUUUCAACAACGGAUCUCUUGGCUCUC